RNAcentral lists this non-coding RNA (32 nucleotides) under Rattus norvegicus (Norway rat). Lineage: Eukaryota; Metazoa; Chordata; Mammalia; Rodentia; Muridae. The record is from RNAcentral.
UAACCAGUGUCAACAGUUCAGGUGUUACCUUU